This is a long non-coding RNA of Apis florea (little honeybee), 163 nucleotides long. The record is from RefSeq and is a predicted model, not a curated record. NCBI's taxonomy places the organism in Eukaryota, Metazoa, Arthropoda, Insecta, Hymenoptera, Apidae.
AGAAAGGAAAUUCUUAUGCGCGAAGAAUUCUAAUAAAAUUCUAACGCGAACUUUUCCCUCGACGCGCGUUCGCGCACGUCUCUCGUUCGACUGCGUACGCGCUCGACGUCUCGUAAAUAAAAGAAUAUUGUCGAGGCGAAUAACAAUUUGCCCGGUCGAACGU